GAUGAACGCUGGCGGCGUGCCUAAUACAUGCAAGUCGAGCGAACAGACGAGGAGCUUGCUCCUCUGACGUUAGCGGCGGACGGGUGAGUAACACGUGGAUAACCUACCUAUAAGACUGGGAUAACUUCGGGAAACCGGAGCUAAUACCGGAUAAUAUAUUGAACCGCAUGGUUCAAUAGUGAAAGACGGUUUUGCUGUCACUUAUGGAUGGAUCCGCGCCGCAUUAGCUAGUUGGUAAGGUAACGGCUUACCAAGGCAACGAUGCGUAGCCGACCUGAGAGGGUGAUCGGCCACACUGGAACUGAGACACGGUCCAGACUCCUACGGGAGGCAGCAGUAGGGAAUCUUCCGCAAUGGGCGAAAGCCUGACGGAGCAACGCCGCGUGAGUGAUGAAGGUCUUCGGAUCGUAAAACUCUGUUAUUAGGGAAGAGCAAAUGUGUAAGUAACUAUGCACGUCUUGACGGUACCUAAUCAGAAAGCCACGGCUAACUACGUG
This 497-nucleotide ribosomal RNA is filed under the name uncultured bacterium. RNAcentral's name for it is "partial 16S ribosomal RNA". It matches the Rfam family "Bacterial small subunit ribosomal RNA", at positions 28 to 507 of the family's 1533-position model. The record is from RNAcentral.